Molecule: ribosomal RNA, 468 nt
Filed under: uncultured bacterium
Lineage: Bacteria
Description: partial 16S ribosomal RNA
Rfam family: Bacterial small subunit ribosomal RNA
Source: RNAcentral
GACGAACGCUGGCGGCGUGCUUAACACAUGCAAGUCGAACGGAAAGGCCCUGCUUUUGUGGGGUGCUCGCGUGGCGCACGGGUGAGUAACACGUGAGUAACCUGCCCUUGACUUUGGGAUAACUUCAGGAAACUGGGGCUACUACCGGAUAGGAGCUCCUGCUGCAUGGUGGGGGUUGGACAGUUUCGGCGGUUGGGGAUGGACUCGCGGCUUAUUAGCUUGUUGGUGGGGUAGUGGCUUACCAAGGCGUUGACGGGUAGCCGGCCUGAGAGGGUGACCGGCCACAUUGGGACUGAGAUACGGCCCAGACUCCUACGGGAGGCAGCAGUGGGGAAUAUUGCACAAUGGGCGGAAGCCUGAUGCAGCAACGCCGCGUGCGGGAUGACGGCCUUCGGGUUGUAAACCGCUUUCGCCUGUGACGAAGCGUGAGUGACGGUAAUGGGUAAAGAAGCACCGGCUAACUACGUG